UUUUCAAUUCAAUUCUAAGAAUUCUUCAAACGAUCCACAUAUUACAUCGCAGUUACGUAAUUCUCAACAAAUGUAUCCAAUAAAUCAACGACUAACGACCAAAUUGCUUAUAAAAAGACAUAUAAGUACAUAGGUGUGAUCAGACAAAUAUCAAGGAAUAUCCAGCUAGACAUUUGUUGAAGUUGAACAAACAUGUUGGUCUUCGCUAAAGGCAACAGCGGUAGUGGUCCGAUUUUAAUUCCCGUAAUCCUAUAAGCCUUCUAACGUGAUUUCACGCUUUCAGAUCUCACGUGAGUUUCGUUACGGUGUAGUUUCAACAGACAAGUCAAGCGGACAAGUUUUAUUAUUUACUAAAUAAUCUAUUCUUUUAAAAAAAUCAUUUUUCAAUUAUCUACGCUCUUUUUAUCAUACAUAGUAAAAAUGUAUACCGUAU
This 433-nucleotide unclassified non-coding RNA is filed under the name Bombus terrestris (buff-tailed bumblebee). RNAcentral describes it as "misc RNA ENSBTSG00005021537.1". Lineage: Eukaryota; Metazoa; Arthropoda; Insecta; Hymenoptera; Apidae. The record is from RNAcentral.